AUUGAACGCUGGCGGCAGGCCUAACACAUGCAAGUCGAACGGUAACAGGAAGCAGCUUGCUGCUUCGCUGACGAGUGGCGGACGGGUGAGUAAUGUCUGGGAAACUGCCUGAUGGAGGGGGAUAACUACUGGAAACGGUAGCUAAUACCGCAUAACGUCGCAAGACCAAAGAGGGGGACCUUCGGGCCUCUUGCCAUCGGAUGUGCCCAGAUGGGAUUAGCUUGUUGGUGGGGUAACGGCUCACCAAGGCGACGAUCCCUAGCUGGUCUGAGAGGAUGACCAGCCACACUGGAACUGAGACACGGUCCAGACUCCUACGGGAGGCAGCAGUGGGGAAUAUUGCACAAUGGGCGCAAGCCUGAUGCAGCCAUACCGCGUGUAUGAAGAAGGCCUUCGGGUUGUAAAGUACUUUCAGCGGGGAGGAAGGGAGUAAAGUUAAUACCUU
This 445-nucleotide ribosomal RNA is filed under the name uncultured Escherichia sp. Its description in RNAcentral is "bacterial SSU rRNA". It matches the Rfam family "Bacterial small subunit ribosomal RNA", at positions 30 to 469 of the family's 1533-position model. The record is from RNAcentral. Lineage: Bacteria; Pseudomonadati; Pseudomonadota; Gammaproteobacteria; Enterobacterales; Enterobacteriaceae.